CUGCUUUUUGUGUGCCCAGCCCCAUUUGCCCAGUCUGCCCGCCUCUGUGAUCCCCCGCAGCACUGGCUGGAAGUCCGCCGCGUGUCAGUGAGGAGCUGCUGCAGAAGGAAGAAGAAGAAGCAGCGGCGUGGGGACCUGGGAGGCAGGAGCAAGCAAGAAGAGGAAGCGGAAGCGUGCAGAUGUGGGGGGGAAGGAGAGAGGCUCCCUGGGCAAAGCACCUGUCCCGUUAGCAGGGGCACAGUCACGUUUGAGUUGAGAGCUGCCGGCGCCUUUGGUGACCAGGCUGGCGUUGUGCUGGGCGACCUCCCCGUAAGCGGGGCUCGGGUCUUUGCUGUAGUUGGCCUUU
RNAcentral lists this long non-coding RNA (346 nucleotides) under Gallus gallus (chicken). RNAcentral's name for it is "lncRNA (ENSGALG00010022977.1)". Lineage: Eukaryota; Metazoa; Chordata; Aves; Galliformes; Phasianidae. The record is from RNAcentral.